AGAUCCAGACCUCCGUCCGCCUCGUCCUCCCCGGCGAGCUCGCCAAGCACGCCGUCUCUGAGGGUACAAAGGCCGUCACCAAGUUCACAUCCGCUUAGAUACCCUGCUCUUGUGUUUUCUCUGAAUGUGUUGAUUUCUCCUGGCUGUUGAUGAAUCCAUUGUUCGUUGUAGUUAGAUGUUCAGAGUGCAUCAUCUUGUAAUUUGUGACGACACAAAUGUUUCAGGAUCCGGAGGAAAUAGUAAUGGUGUUGCUUUGAUCUGUUUCAUGCCUGCCUAUCAUGCUGAAUCCAUGCCAUGUCUCCUAUUCUACUGAUUUGUCAGUCCAUGGUCGUUUCUAAAUGCCCGCAGACCUGAACAUUGCAAAUGUCUGCAGACUGAUGGCGUGGGGGUUGAAACGGCUGGUGCUCGACGAAAGAGCACCACGUCGAUGACGGCUGUGUGCCUGUGUCCAGCUUGUGAUUAUAUCUGCUGAGAACAAAGUGAUUCUACCCGAAAAUAUAAUAUAACAAAGUGAUUCCUUAGUAAAAAUGCCAUGCUACCGUGGUGACAUAACUGUGCCAUAGUUCAUCUUCGGGAAAUCCACAAUGAAGAGCUCAAUUGUCCACACGAAUUAGGAUACAAUCGAGCACAAGUGUCUCAUUUUACUGUUGUUGCAGCACAAGUGUCUGUCCAUCUGCUCUUUAGUCUACAGGCCAGCAAAUUUUGCACUGCAAAAUAGCUCAAGACACAGGCCGUUUUCAGCACCUCUCUAGUUCGAUAUUGCUGCUCAGGACUCGAGACGUUCUUUUGCUGAACAAUUCUUGCCAUCUGACCAAGGUACAGCUCACUUCCAAGCUGCAGCAACCAUCUCUGCAUACACGAUGGCGGCUAAGCAACUACGCUGCUUCAGACAGCAAUGCAUUUUUCCACGAUCCCGAAAGAUUGCUUGCAUUUUACAGUCAGAAUGGACGAGCACUGUCGCGCUGUUAGAUUUCUCUUUGUUCCAUUGCAAUUCUAUUUGCAGUCAGGGAUUUUUUGUAAGGGAACCUCGUCAGAGGGCAAGGUACUAAAGAUAGAAAUGAACCGAUUUAUAAGGAACUAGGAAAAACUACAUCAUAAACAAGAAGAGAAAAACAGCUCAAAAAGGAAAACAAGAAGAAAAAAAGGGAACGCGCAAUAGCUACGACGACCCAAACCGACCACCACCACCUAACACGAUCCUGCCUGACCCAAACCGGCCACGACCACUACCUGGAGUGACCGAGAGCAAGAUCUUUGGAGACGGCUUCAAGAAGUAAGACUCAUGGGGGUCACCUGGUUUUGAAAUUGAUGUGAAUUUUUUAACUGAAAUUGACAUGUGUUAUUGGAAUGGAUAUGUUUUUGUCUACUGACAUAAAAUCAUUCUUUCCGAAAUAUAUGGUAUCGAUAUUAUUUUUUGGAACUGAAAUUGUCAUUUGUGGUACCGAAAUCGUGUUUUGUCAUACUGAAAUAUAUAAUUUCAUUUUUCUAAACAGAGCCAAAAUUAUUUGCUGAAAUUGAUAUUACUUAUCAAAAAUGAAUUUUGUUAACGAAUAUUUAUAUUGUGAUGGAUUGGACACUAAAAUUUGGUAAUGAUAUGAAUCUGUUACUCACACCAAUCCAAAAAAAGUGUCGGGUUUAGUAUAAAGUUGUACUAAACCCGUGACACUUAUUUUGGAUCAAAGGGAGUAUUUGUUACUGAAAUACCUGUCACUUUAUUAGGAAACAUGUGAUUUUUUUAUUGAAAUUGGCAUGUGUUACCGAAAUGGAUAUAAUUUUGUCUACUGAAAUGAAAUAAUUCCUUUUUAGAGUAUUCUGAUUUGUUGUAUUGAAAUCGCCGAAUUUGUGUUGCGUGGUACUGAAAUANNNNNNNNNNNNNNNNNNNNNNNNNNNNNNNNNNNNNNNNNNNNNNNNNNNNNNNNNNNNNNNNNNNNNNNNNNNNNNNNNNNNNNNNNNNNNNNNNNNNNNNNNNNNNNNNNNNNNNNNNNNNNNNNNNNNNNNNNNNNNNNNNNNNNNNNNNNNNNNNNNNNNNNNNNNNNNNNNNNNNNNNNNNNNNNNNNNNNNNNNNNNNNNNNNNNNNNNNNNNNNNNNNNNNNNNNNNNNNNNNNNNNNNNNNNNNNNNNNNNNNNNNNNNNNNNNNNNNNNNNNNNNNNNNNNNNNNNNNNNNNNNNNNNNNNNNNNNNNNNNNNNNNNNNNNNNNNNNNNNNNNNNNNNNNNNNNNNNNNNNNNNNNNNNNNNNNNNNNAAAUUUGGGGGCCCUUGAUAUAAACAUCAUAUGCAUAUUAUCUUCAAAUUUACUUGUAACAUUCUUCGAUGCAAAGUCACUUAUGAUUGUGUCGAUUUCAAUGUCAUCCACUUCUCGAUGCAUAAUGUUGCCUAUCCAUUUAAGAUGUUUCAGGUAAUUGUAUAUCCCAAAUGGUUGUACAAUAAUUUCUAAUUUGAAAAGCCUUUUUAUCUGAGAUGCAACAAUCACAUACACAGUAAAUAUGAAUAAAUCUUUAAACACUAUGACUUUCUUAAAUCCUUUACUUGAGUGAAGUGAUUCAUAUCAACCAAAGCAAACAAAUAUUUAACAUGAAAAUCCUUCUCAGCUUCUAGAAUUUCAUUUUGGCAACUACUUUUAUCAAAUUGUUUCUUCCUCAAAGCACGAAGCUGUACUUGAAACUAUAGGGAAUAGUAAUAUGAUACGUAGUACCUCAGAUUGAUUAGAUCAGCAUCAAUCAUUGGACGCUGGGCGAUGAUGUGAUGUGGAUUUCUGGUGGCGAGCACUCGGCGAUGUACGCGUGCGCCCCACUCCGGCAGUGUCAAAUUUCAGGGGCUAGGCGAUGUUCGUGUUGCGUCGUCACCGCGACCAUGAACACGAACUGGAGUUUGGAGCAGAACAAAUAAUAUAGGAAAUUACAGAUGAAAUCACGUUACAUGAUCAUUUUUCUUUUGGAGGGAGAUUGUCUCAGGAUAGUAAUAAGGAAUAAAGCAAACGGGCGACGUGAUUUACGUGCGUUACGCUGAUUUGUUUCCUUACGAUGGUACACUGAUUUACAUGCAUACGCUGCCUGCUGUCCCUUCCUUUCUGGACCUGGGCUACUUCCAUGUUUUCUAUGUGAAGCUACGGCCUAUGGGUUAGUUUACCCAACGUACAUCACAUCUGGGAGGCCCCCCCUAGAUCUUGGGGGCCCGGGGCGGCCGCCCCCCUGCCCCCCAUCAGGGCCGGCCUUGAGAGAGAGAGAGAGAGGGUGGAUACACCAUGGGCAUGGGUGUACAAUUUUUUCUGCAAAAAAAUCUUAUAUAUAGGCAUAUAUAAGAUUAUAAGAUAUCUGAAAAAAACUUAUAUAUAGGCAAAUAUAUGGCACAUGCAAAAAAAUCAAUAUAUGUCAGCAACCACGGGAGUAGCCGGCCACUUCUGUCCAUUGUCUGUGCAGCCCAUUUCAGAUGUACCCGUGAUCGGCCGAGUUUAGCAGCAGCUAGAAGCCUGUUAGGUCGGCAGCAGCCAGCAAUUUCUAUCUAGUGUCCAUUGUCCGCUAGUUCAUUUCGUACAUGAUGAAUGCUUACAAAUCAUGACCAUUUCGGAGUUGUUCUUGUUGGACAUGAUCAAUGACAACCAUGGUCUGGCCCCCAAUGGAGUAUGAAUUGGGGACACCGCAUUUGAAGUUGGGACAACAUCCGAUUCCAAUCCGAGCAAGAAAAAGAAGAUGGGAAAGACGGCGAAGGCAAGAGGUCAGGUAUUCUCAACUUUUGAGGAUAUCUUUGUUGGUCAAAGCUUGGUUGGCCACAACAAUGGAUCCAAUAUGCGGCACCGAGCAAAAGGGGACAAGUAUUAGGAGAAGAUUUGAAGGAGUAUCACGAACAAAAGGAAUAUCUGGAGCCGCAUCCUAUCAUGACCAACCGCAAUGUGGCAUCUCUCCAACAUCGAUGGGGGGUCAUUCAAGGGAAGUGAACAAGUAUGUUGGCUACUACUCACAAGUGACCAAACGCCCUUAAAGUGGGAUGAGAGUGACAACUCACGUAAGCUCAGUUGCUUGAUCUUGUCAUCAUUUGCAUGUGCUUCGUGUGUUCGCAUUCUCGUGCUCAUACAUAUGUUGUUUCCUAGCGGCGGUGGUGGCCACUUUGUAUCACGAAACGAAGAAGCAGUUGUUUUCUUUUAGCCAUUGUUGGAUCAUAUUGAAUGGAGUGCUAAAAUGGACAAAACUUGUGGCUGAUCUCAAGGACGGCAACAAGAGGAAUGAUGGCUCAAGCUCCCACCAAUCAAUUGGGUUGGACGAUGAAGAGGACGAUAUUUUCGUCGAGAAUGGAAGAGCCGCGUGACAAAGGAUAACCAGCAAGUCAUGGGAAACAAGUGGGAGAAGACAAGGGCCUCCUGUGACGCCGCGGCUACAAAAAUGUCCUCUACAUUGACGGGCAUUUUUUCGACGAGGGAGAACAAGAAAGAGGAGAGAUACAAGCCCAUGUUGGAUGUGCAAAAGGAGAUGAUGGAUUGGGAUCGGAGAGGGCGUAGAAGAAGCUGGAAAUUGAGAGGGAGAAGAUCGAGUUCGAGAAGUAAGAGGCGGCGAUCAAAUGGGAGCUCGAGAAGGCCAAGACAUUUUGAGAGAUUGAGCUUGAGAAAGAGAGGUUAGAACUCGCACGGGAAGCGGAGGAUGCGAAGAUCAUGUUGGCGGAUGAAACCCUCUUGGAUGAGCAUGCAAAGAAGUGGCUUGCGGAGAAGAAGAAGUAGAUCAACGAGCAUAGGGAGUACGAGGCGGCGAGGGCAGCAAUGGCAACAAUGGAGCAUGCGACAAGGAUGCACGCGGAGCAGGAGGCAAGGAUGGCCUCAGAGCAGACGACAUGGACAACAUCCGACCAGUGAUCCGGCCAACAAGCGAGGCAUCUAUCACGCUCGGACAUUUAUUUCACUUUGGCAUAUCUGGAUUUAUUGAACUAUGAUUUGUAUCGUAUGGUCGAUGUGCAUGGAUUUGAGGCCCCGCAUUUGAGGUAUGUGGAUGUGCGUAAAAUCAUAUGAGGGGCCAGUAGGCUGUCCGCGGACACGCCCGCGGGCGUAUAGGGGUCAGGAUUUGCCAAAUUUGGCUCUAGAUGGUCCCAGUCUGUCACCCAGCAGCCAACCGGUUCCUUCUUCAGCUCUUACCUUCGAUGAGGCAGCGACGCGAUUAUGUGCCAGACUACCGAUGGCGAGCCACAACCAGCCAAGGGAGCCACCGACACUGGAGCUCCCCAUGGUUUCCGCGGGGGACACGGACAAGUCGUGCUCGCCCAAUGCCAUGCUACCACCGCUGGCGGGGAGGAGCAUAUCAAUGCGGAAUGGACCAACAACCUCAAUCUCUAGGCCUAAGGUUAUGUCCAACGGCAACCCACAAAUUUCCUCCCGCAUCCGUCCGCGGACAGGGGGGAUCAGUCCAUGAACACGGAUGCGGGAAGACGCCAUCAACAGUUGCCGCAUUGCUAUCACUUUUUCAACAGACCAGAUGCAAUUCAUGCAAACACAGCGGAUUUCAUGUAAAUCGGACAAAAUUCAUUACAUUGUGGACAUAUUUUAACUAAAAUAGGUAAAACUAUGUGCACAUCCAGCUGCGUGGAGCUCCAUUCCCACGACACGAGUACACUACACUAGUCUACGACCAGCCGUGACAGAUCCCUUUGUCUUUCCCAUGUCCGGCAGCCCGCUCAUCGGAGUGGAAAAAGGGGUGCUUCAGUGGGAGAGGGUUGCGGGCUUCGCAUCCGUGAAGCCCAGGCGGGGGUCGAUGAUGGCAGAGCCGCUCAUCGGAGUGGAACCCCUAUGAUGUGCUUCAGCCGAAGGGGAAGGGGAAGACAAUGGUAUGCGACCGGGCAAGACAAUGGAUGUGUAUGCCGGUGUCACCUCCGCGGUGGCCUUCAUGGGACCCAAGCGACGGCGGCCUCCCGUGUUCUACUUCUCCUCGAUGACCUCGGCGGGCGUGGACAUGCUGGACGCUGCGUCGUUGCCGACCUCCACUGGCAGGGCGUGUUCAUGGACACAUUUAUGGCGGAUGGUGCGAGCAGCAGAAGCACGUUGCUGAAGGAUGUGCCUGUUGGGGAUCGUAGCAGAAAUUAAAAUUUUCUACGCAUCACCAAGAUCAAUCUAUGGAGUUUACUAGCAACGAGAGGGGAGGAGUGCAUCUACAUACCCUUGUAGAUCGCGAGCGGAAGUGUUCAAGAGAACGGGGUUGAUGGAGUCGUACUCGUCGUGAUCCAAAUCACCGAUGAUCCAAGCGCCGAACGGACGGCACCUCCGCGUUCAACACACGUACGGAGCCGUGACGUCUCCCACGCCUUGAUCCAGCAAGGAGGAGGGAGAGGUUGAGGAAGAAGGCUCCAACAGCAGCACGACAGCGUGGUGGUGGUGGAGUGACAGCUCUCCGGCAGGGCUUCGCCAAGCACACGCGGAGGAGGAGAGGUGUUGGGGAGGGGAGGGGCUGCGCCUUGGAUGUGGUGCUGCAGCCCUCCCCUCAUCCCUCUAUUUAUAGGGAGAAGGGGGAAGGGGGCCAGCCCCUCUAGAUGGGAUCUAGAGGGGGGGGCGGCGGCCAAGGGGAAGGUGGCUUGCCCCCCAAGCAAGGGGGGGGGGGGCGCCCCCUUUAGGGUUUCCCCCAAACCCUAGGCGCAUGGGCCCUAGGGGGGUUGGAGCCCAGCCCACUAAGGGCUAGUUCCCUUCCACCUACAGCCCAUAAGGCCCUCCGGGGCAGGUGGACCCUCCCGGUGGACCCCCGGAACCCCUCCGGUGGUCCCGGUACAAUACCGGUAUACCCCCGAAUAUUUUCGGUGACCGUAUGGUGACUUCCCAUAUAUAAAUCUUUACCUCCGGACCAUUCCGGAACUCCUUGUGACGUCCGGGAUCUCAUAUGGGACUCCGAACAACAUUUGGUAAUCACAUACAAACCUUCCUUAUAACCCUAGCGUCAUCGAACCUUAAGUGUGUAGACCCUACGGGUUCGGGAAUCAUGCAGACAUGACCGAGACACCUCUCUAGCCAAUAACCAACAUCAGGAUCUGGAUACCCAUGUUGGCUCCCACAUGUUCCACGAUGAUCUCAUCGGAUGAACCACGAUGUCGAGGAUUCAAGCAAUCCCGUAUACAAUUCCCUUUGUCAAUCGGUACGUUACUUGCCCGAGAUUCGAUCGUCGGUAUCCCAAUACAUCGUUCAAUCUCGUUACCAGCAAGUCACUUUACUCGUUCCGUAAUGCAUGAUCCCGUGACUAACUACUUAGUCACAUUGAGCUCAUUAUGAUGAUGAAAUACCGAGUGGGCCCAGAGAUACCUCUCCGUCAUACGGAGUGACAAAUCCCAGUCUCGAUCCGAGCCAACACAACAGACACUUUCAGAGAUACCUGUAGUGCACCUUUAUAGCCACCCAGUUACGUUGUGACGUUUGGUACACCCAAAGCAUUCCUACAGUAUCCGGGAGUUGCACGAUCUCAUGGUCUAAGGAAAUGAUACUAGACAUUAGAAAAGCUUUAGCAAACGAACUACACAAUCUAGUGCUAUGCUUAGGAUUGGGUCUUGUCCAUCACAUCAUUCUCCUAAUGAUGUGAUCCCGUUAUCAAUGACAUCCAAUGUCCAUGGUCAGGAAACCAUAACCAUCUAUUGAUCAACGAGCUAGUCAACUAGAGGCUCACUAGGGACAUGUUAUGGUCUAUGUAUUCACAUAUGUAUUACGAUUUCCGGAUAACACAAUUAAAGCAUGAACAAUAGACAAUUAUCAUGAACAAGGAAAUAUAAUAAUAACCAUUUUAUUAUUGCCUCUAGGGCAUAUUUCCAACAGUCUCCCACUUGCACUAGAGUCAAUAAUCUAGUUACAUUGUGAUGAAUCGUACACCCAUAGAGUUCUGGUGUUGAUCAUGUUUUGCCCGUGGAAGAGGUUUAGUCAACGGAUCUGCGACAUUCAAAUCCGUAUGUACUUUACAAAUAUCUAUGUCUCCAUUUUGAACAUUUUCACGAAUGGAGUUGAAGCGACGCUUGAUGUGCCUGGUCUUCUUGUGAAACCUGGGCUCCUUGGCAAGGGCAAUAGCUCCAGUGUUGUCACAGAAGAGAGUCAUCGGCCCCGAUGCAUUGGGAAUAACUCCUAGGUCGGCAAUGAACUCCUUCAUCCAGAUUGCUUCAUGUGCCGCCUCCGAGGCUGCCAUGUACUCCGCUUCACAUGUAGAUCCCGCCACGACGCUUUGAUUGCAACUGCACCAGCUGACUGCCCCACCAUUCAAAAUAUACACGUAUCCGGUUUGUGACUUAGAGUCAUCCAGAUCUGUGUCGAAGCUAGCAUCGACGUAACCCUUUACGACGAGCUCUUCGUCACCUCCAUAAACGAGAAACAUAUCCUUAGUCCUUUUCAGGUACUUCAGGAUGUUCUUGACCGCUGUCCAGUGUUCCAUGCCGGGAUUACUUUGGUACCUUCCUACCAAACUUACGGCAAGGUUUACAUCAGGUCUGGUACACAGCAUGGCAUACAUAAUAGACCCUAUGGCCGAGGCAUAGGGGACGACACUCAUCUUUUCUCUAUCUUCUGCCGUGGUCGGGCAUUGAGCCGUGCUCAAUCUCACACCUUGCAAUACAGGCAAGAACCCCUUCUUGGACUGAUCCAUAUUGAACUUCUUCAAUAUCUUCUCAAGGUAUGUGCUUUGUGAAAGACCUAUGAUGCGUCUCGAUCUAUCUCUAUAGAUCUUGAUGCCUAAUAUGUAAGCAGCUUCUCCAAGGUCCUUCAUUGAAAAACACUUAUUCAAGUAGGCCUUUAUACUUUCCAAGAAUUCUAUAUCAUUUCCCAUCAAUAGUAUGUCAUCCACAUAUAAUAAGAAAAAUGCUACAGAGCUCCCACUCACUUUCUUGUAAACACAGGCUUCUCCAUAAGUCUGCGUAAACCCAAACGCUUUGAUUCAUCUCAUCAAAGCGAAUGUUCCAACUCCGAGAUGCCUGCACCAGCCCAUAGAUUGAGCGCUGGAGCUUGCAUACUUUGUCAGUAUUCUUAGGAUCGACAAAACCUUCCGGCUGCAUCAUAUACAAUUCUUCCUUAAGGAAGCCGUUAAGGAAUGCCGUUUUGACGUCCAUUUGCCAUAUUUCAUAAUCGUAGAAUGCGGCAAUUGCUAACAUGAUUCGGACGGACUUCAGCUUCGCUACGGGUGAGAAGGUCUCAUCGUAGUCAACUCCUUGAACUUGACGAUAACCCUUAGCGACAAGUCGAGCUUUAUAGAUGGUAACAUUUCCAUCCGCGUCCGUCUUCUUCUUAAAGAUCCAUUUAUUUUCUAUCGCUCGCCGAUCAUUGGGCAAGUCUGUCAAAGUCCAUACUUUGUUUUCAUACAUGGAUCCUAUCUCGGAUUGCAUGGCUUCAAGCCAUUUGUUGGAAUCUGGACCCGCCAUUGCUUCUUCAUAGUUCGAAGGUUCGCCGUUGUCCAACAACAUGAUUUCCAGGAGAGGGUUGCCGUACCACUCUGGUGUGGAACGUGUCCUUGUGGACCUACGAAGUUCAGUGGUAACUUGAUCAUGAUCGUCAUCAUUAACUUCCUCUCUAGUCGGUGCAGGCACCACAGAAACAUUUUCUUGUGCUGCGCUACUUUCUGGUUCGAGAGGGGUCAUCUCAUCAAGUUCCACUUUCCUCCCACUUACUUCUUUCGAGAGAAACUCUUUCUCCAGAAAGGACCCGUUCUUAGCAACGAAGAUCUUGCCUUCGGAUCUGAGGUAGAAGGUAUACCCAAUGGUUUCCUUAGGGUAUCCUAUGAAGACGCAUUUUUCCGACUUGGGUUCGAGCUUUUCAGGUUGAAGUUUCUUGACAUAAGCAUCGCAUCCCCAAACUUUAAGAAACGACAUCUUAGGUUUCUUUCCAAACCAUAAUUCAUACGGUGUCGUCUCAACAGAUUUCGACGGAGCCCUAUUUAAAGUGAAUGCGGCAGUCUCUAAAGCCUAACCCCAGAAUGAUAGCGGUAGAUCGGUAAGAGACAUCAUAGAUCGCACCAUAUCCAAUAGAGUGCGAUUACGACGUUCAGAUACACCAUUACGCUGAGGUGUUCCAGGCGGCGUGAGUUGUGAAACAAUUCCACAUUUCCUUAAGUGUGUGCCAAAUUCGUGACUCAAAUAUUCCCCUCCACGAUCUGAUCGUAAGAACUUUAUUUUCCUGUCACGUUGAUUCUCAACCUCACUCUGAAAUUCCUUGAACUUUUCAAAGGUCUCAGACUUGUGUUUCAUUAAGUAGACAUACCCAUAUCUACUCAAGUCAUCAGUGAGGGUGAGAACAUAACGAUAGCCACCACGAGCCUCAACGCUCAUUGGACCGCACGCAUCAGUAUGUAUGAUUUCCAAUAAGUUGGUUGCUCGCUCCACUGUUCCGGAGAACGGAGUCUUGGUCAUUUUGCCCAUGAGGCAUGGUUCGCACGUGUCAAAUGAUUCAUAAUCAAGAGACUCCAAAAGUCCAUCUGCAUGGAGUUUCUUCAUGCGUUUGACACCAAUGUGACCAAGGCGGCAGUGCCACAAGUAUGUGGGACUAUCAUUAUCAACCUUACAUUUCUUGGCAUUCACACUAUGAAUAUGUGUAACAUCACGUUCGAGAUUCAUUAAGAAUAAACCAUUGACCAGCGGGGCAUGACCAUAAAACAUAUCUCUCAUAUAAAUAGAACAACCAUUAUUCUCGGAUUUAAAUGAGUAGCCAUCUCGCAUUAAACGAGAUCCAGAUACAAUGUUCAUGCUCAAAGCUGGCACUAAAUAACAAUUAUUGAGGUUUAAAACUAGUCCCGUAGGUAAAUGUAGAGGUAGCGUGCCGACGGCGAUCACAUCGACCUUGGAACCAUUCCCGACGCGCAUCGUCACCUCGUCCUUCGCCAGUCUCCGCUUAUUCCGCAGCUCCUGCUUUGAGUUACAAAUAUGAGCAACCGCACCGGUAUCAAAUACCCAGGAGCUACUACGAGCGCUGGUUAGGUACACAUCUAUAACAUGUAUAUCACAUAUACCUUUGGUAUUGCCGGCCUUCUUAUCCGCUAAGUACUUGGGGCAGUUCCGCUUCCAGUGACCGUUUCCCUUGCAAUAAAAGCACUCAGUCUCAGGCUUGGGUCCAUUCUUUGUCUUCUUCCCGGCAGCUUGCUUACCGGGCGCGGCAACUCCCUUGCCGUCUUUCUUGAAGUUCUUCUUACCCUUGCCUUUCUUGAACUUAGUGGUUUUAUUCACCAUCAACACUUGAUGUUCCUUUUUGAUCUCCCCCUCCGCUGAUUUCAGCAUUGAAUAUACCUCAGGAAUGGUCUUUUCCAUCCCCUGCAUAUUGAAGUUCAUCACAAAGCUCUUGUAGCUAGGUGGGAGCGACUGAAGGAUUCUGUCAACGACCGCGUCAUCCGGGAGAUUAACUCCCAGCUGAGACAAGCGGUUGUGCAACCCAGACAUUUUGAGUAUGUGUUCGCUGACGGAACUAUUCUCCUCCAUCUUACAACUGUAGAACUUGUCGGAGACUUCAUAUCUCUCGACCCGGGCAUGAGCUUGGAAAACCAUUUUCAGCUCUUGGAACAUCUCAUAUGCUCCGUGCUGCUCAAAACGCUUUUGGAGCCCCGGUUCUAAGCUGUAAAGCAUGCCGCACUGAACCAGGGAGUAAUCAUCACUACGUGACUGCCAGGCAUUCAGAACGUCUUGAGUUGCUGGGAAAACAGGUGCAUCACCUAGCGGUGCUUCAAGGACAUAUGCUUUCUUGGCAGCUAUGAGGAUAAUCCUCAGGUUACGGACCCAGUCCGUGUAGUUGCUACCAUCGUCUUUCAGCUUGGUUUUCUCUAGGAAUGCGUUGAAGUUGAGGGCAACAUUAGCGUGGGCCAUUUGAUCUACAAGACAUAUUGUAAAGGUUUUUAGACUAAGUUCAUGAUAAUGAAGUUCAUCUAAUCAAAUUAUUAACGAACUCCCACUCAGACAGACAUCCCUCUAGUCAUCUAAGUGAUACAUGAUCCGAGUCAACUAGGCCGUGUCCGAUCAUCACGAGAGACGGACUAGUCAUCAUCGGUGAACAUCUUCAUGUUGAUCGUAUCUGCUAUACGACUCAUGUUCGACCUUUCGGUCUCUUGUGUUCCGAGGCCAUGUCUGUACAUGCUAGGCUCAUCAAGUCAACCUAAGUGUAUUGCGUGUGUAAAUCUGGCUUACACCCGUUGUAUGCGAACGUUAGAACCUAUCACACCCGAUCAUCACGUGGUGCUUCGGAACAACGAACCUUCGCAACGGUGCACAGUUAGGGGGAACACUUUCUUGAAAUUUUAGCGAGGGAUCAUCUUAUUUAUGCUACCGUCGUUCUAAGCAAAUAAGAUGUAAAACAUGAUAAACAUCACAUGCAAUCAAAUAGUGACAUGAUAUGGCCAAUAUCAUUUUGCUCCUUUUGAUCUCCAUCUUCGGGGCGCCAUGUUCAUCAUCGUCACCGGCAUGACACCAUGAUCUCCAUCAUCGUGUCUUCAUGAAGUUGUCUCGCCAACUAUUACUUCUACUACUAUGGCUAAUGGUUAGCAAUAAAGUAAAGUAAUUACAUGACGUUCCAGUUAACACGCAGGUCAUAAAUAAAUUAAGACAACUCCUAUGGCUCCUGCCGGUUGUCAUACUCAUCGACAUGCAAGCCGUGAUUCCUAUUACAAGAACAUGAUCAAUCUCAUACAUCACAUAUAUCAUUCAUCACAUCCUUCUGGCCAUAUCACAUCACAUGACACUUGCUGCAAAAACAAGUUAGACGUCCUCUAAUUGUUGUUGCAAACUUUUAUGUGGCUGCUAUAGGUUUCUAGCAAGAACGAUUCUUACCUACGCCAAAACCACAACGUGAUAUGCCAAUUUCUAUUUACCCUUCAUAAGGACCCUUUUCAUCGAAUCCGAUCCGACUAGUGGGAGAGACAGACACCCGCUAGCCACCUUAUGCAACUAGUGCAUGUCAGUUGGUGGAACCUGUCUCACGUAAGCGUACGUGUAAGGUCGGUCCGGGCCGCUUCAUCCCACAAUGCCGGCGAAUCAAGAUAAAACUAGUAACGACAAGUAAAUUGACAAAAUCAACACCCACAACAACUUGUGUUCUACUCGUGCAUAGAAACUACGCAUAGACCUAGCUCAUGAUGCCACUGUUGGGGAUCGUAGCAGAAAUUAAAAUUUUCUACGCAUCACCAAGAUCAAUCUAUGGAGUUUACUAGCAACGAGAGGGGAGGAGUGCAUCUACAUACCCUUGUAGAUCGCGAGCGGAAGCGUUCAAGAGAACGGGGUUGAUGGAGUCGUACUCGUCGUGAUUCAAAUCACCGAUGAUCCAAGCGCCGAACGGACGGCACCUCCGCGUUCAACACACGUACGGAGCGGUGACGUCUCCCACGCCUUGAUCCAGCAAGGAGGAGGGAGAGGUUGAGGAAGAAGGCUCCAACAGAAGCACGACGGCGUGGUGGUGGUGGAGUGACAGUUCUCCGGCAGGGCUUCGCCAAGCACACGCGGAGGAGGAGAGGUGUUGGGGAGGGGAGGGGCUGCGCCUUGGAUGUGGUGCUGCAGCCCUCCCCUCAUCCCUCUAUUUAUAGGGAGAAGGGGGAAGGGGGCCGGCCCCUCUAGAUGGGAUCUAGAGGGGGGGGCGGCGGCCAAGGGGAAGGUGGCUUGCCCCCAAGCAAGGGGGGGGGGGGGGCGCCCCCUUUAGGGUUUCCCCCAAACCCUAGGCGCAUGGGCCCUAGGGGGGUUGGCGCCCAGCCCACUAAGGGCUGGUUCCUUUCCACCUACAGCCCAUAAGGCCCUCCGGAGCAGGUGGACCCUCCCGGUGGACCCCCGGAACCCCUCCGGUGGUCCCGGUACAAUACCGGUAUACCCCCGAAUAUUUCCGGUGACCGUAUGGUGACUUCCCAUAUAUAAAUCUUUACCUCCGGACCAUUCCGGAACUCCUCGUGACAUCCGGGAUCUCAUCCGGGACUCCGAACAACAUUCGUUAAUCACAUACAAACCUUCCUUAUAACCCUAGCGUCAUCGAACCUUAAGUGUGUAGACCCUACGGGCUCGGGAAUCAUGUAGACAUGACCGAGACACCUCUCUAGCCAAUAACCAACAGCGGGAUCUGGAUACCCAUGUUGGCUCCCACAUGUUCCACGAUGAUCUCAUGGGAUGAACCAUGAUGUCGAGGAUUCAAGUAAUCCCGUAUACAAUUCCCUUUGUCAAUCGGUACGUUACUUGCCCGAGAUUCGAUCGUCGGUAUCCCAAUACCUCGUUCAAUAUCGUUACCAGAAAGUCACUUUACUCGUUCCGUAAUGCAUGAUCCCGUGACUAACUACUUAGUCACAUUGAGCUCAUUAUGAUGAUGCAAUACCGAGUGGGCCCAGAGAUACCUCUCCGUCAUACGAAGUGACAAAUCCCAGUCUCGAUCCGAGCCAACCCAACAGACACUUUCGGAGAUACCUGUAGUGCACCUUUAUAGCCACCCAGUUACGUUGUGACGUUUAGUACACCCAAAGCAUUCCUACGGUAUCCGGGAGUUGCACGAUCUCAUGGUCUAAGGAAAUGAUACUUGACAUUAGAAAAGCUUUAGCAAACGAACUACACGAUCUAGUGCUAUGCUUAGGAUUGGGUCUUGUCCAUCACAUCAUUCUCCUAAUGAUGUGAUCCCGUUAUCAAUGACAUCCAAUGUCCAUGGUCAGGAAACCGUAACCAUCUAUUGAUCAACGAGCUAGUCAACUAGAGGCUCACUAGGGACAUGUUAUGGUCUAUGUAUUCACAUAUGUAUUACGAUUUCCGGAUAACACAAUUAAAUCAUGAACAAUAGACAAUUAUCAUGAACAAGGAAAUGUAAUAAUAACCAUUUUAUUAUUGCCUCUAGGGCAUAUUUCCAACAGUGCCGACUUGGAGAUUCUGCCUCUGCGAGCUGGCAUGCAGCCGCCUGGACUGUCGACGGAGGCGGAGCUACAACUGCCUGUAUCAUCGUGGGAUGCAUAGCAGAGAGUUGCCUGACUCAUAUCCGGUGGGCUCGACGGGCCACCCAGCCAGCUUGUAUGCCGGAGAACUCGGCCUCCUGCUCGCCGGAUACCAUGGAGCUGCGGAGAAAAUGAAGGAAAUAUGCCCUAGAGGCAAUAAUAAAGUUGUUAUUUUCCUUAUAUCAUGAUAAAUGUUUAUUAUUCAUGCUAGAAUUGUAUUAACCAGAAACUUAGUACAUGUGUGAAUACAUAGACAAAACAUAGUGUCCCUAGUAUGCCUCUACUUGACUAGCUCGUUAAUCAAAGAUGGUGAAGUUUCCUGACCAUAGACAUGUGUUGUCAUGUGAUGAACGGAUCACAUCAUUAGAGAGUGAUGUGAUGGACAAGACCCAUCUGUUAGCUUAGCAUAAUGAUCAUUAAGUUUUAUUGCUAUUGCUUUCUUCAUGCUUAUACAUAUUCCUCUAACUAUGAGAUUAUGCAACUCCCGAAUACCGGAGGAACACCUUAUGUGCUAUCAAACGUCACAAGGUAACUAGUUGAUUAUAAAGAUGCUCUACAGGUGUCUCCAGAGGUGUUUGUUGGGUUGGCAUAGAUCAAGAUUAUGAUUUGUCACUCCGAGUAUCGGAGAGGUAUCUCUGGGCCCUCUCGGUAAUGCACAUCACUAUAAGCCUUGCAAGCAAUGUGACUAAUAAGUUAGUUACGGGAUGAUGCAUUACGGAACGAGUAAAGAGAUUUGCCGGUAACGAUAUUGAACUAGGUAUGAUGAUACCGAUGAUCGAAUCUCGGGAAAGUAACAUACUGAUGACAAAGGGAAUGACGAAUGUUGUUAUGUGGUUUGACCGAUAAAGAUCUACGUAGAAUAUGUAGGAACCAAUAUGAGCAUCCAUGUUCUGCUAUUGGUUAUUGACCGGAGAUGUGUCUCGGUCAUGUCUACAUAGUUCUCAAACCCUUAUUGUUGGGGAUAUAGCUACUAAGUUAACCCGCCCAGGAGGGGCCGGGUUAACUCCUGGUGACUCACAAGACAAAGCCCAUGAAGGAAUCGAAGAUGGCGGUUCAUGAGGAUGACUUAUGAAGAGCCCAAGGCCCAAAGGCGGCUUAAGGCCAGUAGGUGUAAACCGCCAUAUAUACGUGACUUGUAUUAUAAGUAGUUGUAAUUAAGUCACCGAGCCGGAUACGUUUAUGAGCCGGCCGGGACUCUGUAAGCCACCGGGCGUCAACCUGAGUAUAUAAAGGGACGACCCGAUGGCGAGUUAGGGGACAGACAACAAACCGAGAACUAG
Molecule: long non-coding RNA, 16122 nt
Filed under: Triticum aestivum (bread wheat)
Lineage: Eukaryota; Viridiplantae; Streptophyta; Magnoliopsida; Poales; Poaceae
Description: long non-coding RNA (TAES_LNC018478)
Source: RNAcentral